AGAGUUUGAUCCUGGCUCAGAGUGAACGCUGGCGGCAAGCCUAACACAUGCAAGUCGAACGGCAGCACAGCAGUAGCAAUACUGUGGGUGGCGAGUGGCGGACGGGUGAGGAAUGCGUCGGAAUCUGCCUAUUUGUGGGGGAUAACGUAGGGAAACUUACGCUAAUACCGCAUACGACCUACGGGUGAAAGUGGGGGACCUUCGGGCCUCACGCAGAUAGAUGAGCCGACGCCGGAUUAGCUAGUUGGCGGGGUAAAGGCCCACCAAGGCGACGAUCCGUAGCUGGUCUGAGAGGAUGAUCAGCCACACUGGGACUGAGACACGGCCCAGACUCCUACGGGAGGCAGCAGUGGGGAAUAUUGGACAAUGGGCGCAAGCCUGAUCCAGCCAUGCCGCGUGUGUGAAGAAGGCCUUCGGGUUGUAAAGCACUUUUGUCCGGAAAGAAAUCCUUUCGAUUAAUACUCGGGAGGGAUGACGGUACCGG
This 484-nucleotide ribosomal RNA is filed under the name uncultured bacterium. RNAcentral describes it as "bacterial SSU rRNA". It matches the Rfam family "Bacterial small subunit ribosomal RNA", at positions 8 to 481 of the family's 1533-position model. The record is from RNAcentral.